GGAAGAGUGGCCGAGUGGUUUAAGGCAACGGUCUUGAAAACCGUCGAUGGGGCAACCUAUCCGUGGGUUCGAAUCCCACCUCUUCCGCCA
RNAcentral lists this transfer RNA (90 nucleotides) under Novosphingobium sp. KA1. Its description in RNAcentral is "tRNA-Ser". It matches the Rfam family "tRNA". From Rfam's summary of the family: Transfer RNA (tRNA) molecules are approximately 80 nucleotides in length. Their secondary structure includes four short double-helical elements and three loops (D, anti-codon, and T loops). Lineage: Bacteria; Pseudomonadati; Pseudomonadota; Alphaproteobacteria; Sphingomonadales; Sphingomonadaceae. RNAcentral also lists the same sequence under 2 other names. The record is from RNAcentral.